Molecule: long non-coding RNA, 947 nt
Organism: Ostrea edulis (European flat oyster)
Lineage: Eukaryota; Metazoa; Mollusca; Bivalvia; Ostreida; Ostreidae
Exons: 2
Source: RefSeq, a predicted model, not a curated record
UGUUCACUGUCUAUUUAUAUAUACAAUCACUUUCUAUUUAUAACCACUGUCUAUUUAUGUAUGGUUCCACGUAAAAAUCAGGCAAAAUCGCAUUUUCGUGAUAAGUCCAUGUUCACGAAAUGAACCCAAACUUAGCAUACUAACUCACCGUAAUAUGUUUGGCAAACAUACAAAGUAGUUUUGAUUUAUUUCGCCUUGUUCCAAAAUUAUGGACAGAUAAUUAUGAACAUGGAGAAUUCACGCUUAGUGCAAAUCUAUACAAAACACUACUUGUAAUCCCUUUGAAAUCUAAGAACAGCAAAGCAGGUAUGAAAAUAUAUCAUUAUAUAACAUUAAACAAAUAAAAAAGGCAUGCUCUGAAAUAAAUAUUUUUUUUGAAAGUUUCAAUAUAACAUUUUAAAACCUCUCUGAAUGUUUCGAUUUUAAUGCAAUUUCGGUUAUCGUUCUUGAAUUUAACCUCGAUGAUCGCUAGGGGCGCUGCUUUGUCAACACACAAAGUGCUCGGAAUAUGGCGGAUCCAAAACUGAAUGCCGUGUAGGACAAUAUUCCGACAGAGUGUGAACUACCAUCAAGCCUCCUCUAAAGGAAACGAAUAUAUUUACCUUCGGAGAGUGUCAGAAAUACAUUGAUGUAUAUGGCGUCACUGAAGAUAGAACGUGUGUGGAGCAGCCGACAACGAAGACCGAGCAACAUAUCUUAUAUGACAUGUCACCAAGUCGGCGCAUUCCGGUCUCUGCAAAACCCAAGGAUAUACUUAAAGUGGUAACAGGAGGAAAAUCAAUCGAACCAAGUGAAAGUACAAGACACUAUUACAAAAGGAAAGCAAAGGAGUCCAUAAAUUCAAUGUUGAACAUCAAGACAGUCUAAAAUAUUGAAUCCAAACAAAAUAUCAAAACUCUAUGAAGAAAUAAAUGACAAAUUGUCAAAUAAACAUGAAAGCAUUCUUA